RNAcentral lists this ribosomal RNA (374 nucleotides) under Danuria thunbergi. Its description in RNAcentral is "partial 12S ribosomal RNA". The record is from RNAcentral. Lineage: Eukaryota; Metazoa; Arthropoda; Insecta; Mantodea; Mantidae.
AGAUACCCUAUUAUUUUUAUUGUAAAAAUUAAAGUUGGAGUAUUAAUAGUUAUGAUCUUAAAACUUAAAGAAUUUGGCGGUAUUAUAGUCUAUUUAGAGGAAUCUGUUAUGUAAUCGAUAUUCCACGUUGAACCUUACUUGUAUUAAAUUCUUGUAUAUCGCUGUUUGUGAAUAUACUUUUAGGUUAUUUUCUAGAUAAAAUAUUAAUUGAAACUUCAAGUCAAGGUGCAGUAAUAUAUAAGUUAAUUAAUGGAUUACAAUAAAUUUUAUUUAUAUGGAUAUUAUUUAAAAUGUAGUUUGAAGGUGGAUUUAAUUGUAAUUUUUUAAAGAUUAUAAAGGUGAAUAUAAGCUCUAUAAUAUGUACAUAUCGCCCG